AGUGAACGCUGGCGGUAGGCCUAACACAUGCAAGUCGAACGGCAGCACAGUAAGAGCUUGCUCUUACGGGUGGCGAGUGGCGGACGGGUGAGGAAUACAUCGGAAUCUACUUUUUCGUGGGGGAUAACGUAGGGAAACUUACGCUAAUACCGCAUACGACCUACGGGUGAAAGCAGGGGAUCUUCGGACCUUGCGCGAUUGAAUGAGCCGAUGUCGGAUUAGCGAGUUGGCGGGCUAAAGGCCCACCAAGGCGACGCUCCGUAGCUGGUCUGAGCGGCUGAUCAGCCACACUGGAACUGAGACACGGUCCAGACUCCUACGGGAGGCAGCAGUGGGGAAUGUUGGACAAUGGGCGCAAGCCUGAUCCAGCCAUACCGCGUGGGUGAAGAAGGCCUUCGGGUUGUAAAGCCCUUUUGUUGGUAAAGAAAAGCAGCAGGUUAAUACCCCGCUGUUCUGACGGUACCCAAAGAAUAAGCACCGGCUAACUUCGUG
This 492-nucleotide ribosomal RNA is filed under the name uncultured bacterium. RNAcentral's name for it is "partial 16S ribosomal RNA". It matches the Rfam family "Bacterial small subunit ribosomal RNA", at positions 29 to 507 of the family's 1533-position model. The record is from RNAcentral.